UGAAACUACACUUUUUUAUUUUCAUGCUGUACUCAAUAUUACUGCUAAUAUACAGCAUCCAUGUCUUCAUACCUUUCAUCUACGGGAGAAACUGAACAGGACAGAAACAACAUCAAAAGACAAAAUAACUCGUGAAAAAGUGACUCGUGCCAAAUCUGACAACACGAGCAACAAGAUGUGGGCUAACAGGGUUUUCCUCAUCUGUAUGUCCUGAUGCGAGUGUUCUCUUCCAGGAUGACACUGCACACAUCCAUAGCAUACAAAAGGUGAUGACAACAACCAGAUCUCAGCUCAGCUAUGACAAAUUAGAAAGUCCUCUCCAGCAGCAUCAUCAAAAACCCACAUGAGGAAAUGUCUUUUGAAACAAUAGUGUUCAUCCCUUCAGUAGAGUCAGACUUGGAAUCAGUACUAGAAGCUACUCUGGCAGAGCAUGGUAGCCUGACACUUCACAGGAACUGGGAUCAGCAGUGUGUGUUUAGGGUUUUUAAUCUUAAAAGCUAUAGCAAGAGUCAACUUUCUUCAUUUAUUUCUUUUCUAUUAUUUUUGCUAAUAAUUGGAGAAAAAUAAAGAUUCUUCAUUACGGUAGGGGAUUUUUAAUUUAUCAUUGUAAAGCUUUAGGAAGAAUUUAGUUGUAAAUUAUCAUUUAGACUUUGUUAGAGUAAAAACACGUUUCAGUCCCAUGUAAAAAAUUAAGCUACUGGUUAAGCUUCAGGGGAAUCACACAAAUGUCCACUGUGUCUACUGUAGCUCUGAGAUUUUAUAAAGUCGCAUUAACUUCAAAAGAAAAAGUUACAACUUAUCGCCAGGUGAGUUGGUGUGGAUAGCCCCACGGGAAUGUCGGAUUGACCCACUUGUUUAAUCCCUGUAGUGCCCCCUAGUGUGUGGACGUGAAUUUCUGAAAUUAAAAAUGUAUAAGUGAAUAACUCUAUUGAGUAAUUUACAAUGUCUUUAAAACCUAACUACACCCAACCAUCACAGGAACUGGGAUGAUUUUUCUUUGUACAGUUUCGGUCAGAGGCUCUCUCCCUGCGCAGGUAUAAACAUUUAUAGAUGCAUUUGAGUGACAACAUGUUUGCUGAUAUUCUUCACCAAGAUCUUCUAUAAAUAUUUAUAACAUUUAUUUGUUUCGACAGUAAUCUGAUAGUAGGAUACCCCUGCUCGAAAGAUUAGUUUGUGUUUCUCUAAUGUUUACUGUUAUAACAUUAAAUAGAAGGUGUGAAA
Astatotilapia calliptera (eastern happy) is the source of this 1221-nucleotide long non-coding RNA. Lineage: Eukaryota; Metazoa; Chordata; Actinopteri; Cichliformes; Cichlidae. The record is from Ensembl.